UACAGAGGGUGCAAACGUUGCUCGGAAUUAUUGGGCGUAAAGCGCGUGUAGGCGGCCUGUUAAGUCGGCUGUGAAAGCCCAUGGCUCAACCAUGGAAGUGCAGUCGAAACUGGCAGACUCGAGUCCUGGAGAGGGUGGCGGAAUGCCCAGUGUAGAGGUGAAAUUCGUAGAUAUUGGGUAGAACACCGGUGGCGAAGGCGGCCACCUGGACAGCGACUGACGCUAAGACGCGAAAGCGUGGGGAGCGAACAGG
RNAcentral lists this ribosomal RNA (253 nucleotides) under uncultured prokaryote. Its description in RNAcentral is "partial 16S ribosomal RNA". It matches the Rfam family "Bacterial small subunit ribosomal RNA", at positions 524 to 776 of the family's 1533-position model. The record is from RNAcentral.